UAGAGUUUGAUCCUGGCUCAGGACGAACGCUGGCGGCGUGCCUAAUACAUGCAAGUCGAGCGAACCAAUAAGAAGCUUGCUUUUUGUUGGUUAGCGGCGGACGGGUGAGUAACACGUGGGUAACCUGCCUGUAAGACCGGGAUAACUCCGGGAAACCGGUGCUAAUACCGGAUAGAUUAUCUUUCCGCCUGGAGAGAUAAGGAAAGAUGGCUUUUGCCAUCACUUACAGAUGGGCCCGCGGCGCAUUAGCUAGUUGGUGAGGUAACGGCUCACCAAGGCGACGAUGCGUAGCCGACCUGAGAGGGUGAUCGGCCACACUGGGACUGAGACACGGCCCAGACUCCUACGGGAGGCAGCAAAA
RNAcentral lists this ribosomal RNA (361 nucleotides) under Caldibacillus thermoamylovorans. RNAcentral's name for it is "bacterial SSU rRNA". It matches the Rfam family "Bacterial small subunit ribosomal RNA", at positions 1 to 356 of the family's 1533-position model. The record is from RNAcentral. Lineage: Bacteria; Bacillati; Bacillota; Bacilli; Caryophanales; Bacillaceae.